RNAcentral lists this ribosomal RNA (253 nucleotides) under uncultured bacterium. Its description in RNAcentral is "partial 16S ribosomal RNA". It matches the Rfam family "Bacterial small subunit ribosomal RNA", at positions 524 to 776 of the family's 1533-position model. The record is from RNAcentral.
UACGAAGGGGGCUAGCGUUGCUCGGAAUCACUGGGCGUAAAGGGUGCGUAGGCGGGGCUUUAAGUCAGGGGUGAAAUCCUGGAGCUCAACUCCAGAACUGCCUUUGAUACUGAGGAUCUUGAGUCCGGGAGAGGUGAGUGGAACUGCGAGUGUAGAGGUGAAAUUCGUAGAUAUUCGCAAGAACACCAGUGGCGAAGGCGGCUCACUGGCCCGGUACUGACGCUGAGGCACGAAAGCUAGGGGAGCGAACAGG